This 253-nucleotide ribosomal RNA is filed under the name uncultured bacterium. RNAcentral's name for it is "partial 16S ribosomal RNA". It matches the Rfam family "Bacterial small subunit ribosomal RNA", at positions 524 to 776 of the family's 1533-position model. The record is from RNAcentral.
CACGGGGGGGGCAAGCGUUGUUCGGAAUUACUGGGCGUAAAGGGCUCGUAGGUGGCCAACUAAGUCAGACGUGAAAUCCCUCGGCUUAACCGGGGAACUGCGUCUGAUACUGGAUGGCUUGAGUUCGGGAGAGGGAUGCGGAAUUCCGGGUGGAGUGGUGAAAUGCGUAGAGAUCCGGAGGAACACCGAAGGCGAAGGCAGUGUCCUGGCUGGUGACUGACGCUGAGGUGCGAAAGCUAGGGGAGCGAACGGG